CCUACGGGUGGCUGCAGUCGAGAAUCUUCGGCAAUGGGCGCAAGCCUGACCGAGCGAUGCCGCGUGCGGGAUGAAGGCCCUUGGGUUGUAAACCGCUGUCAGGGGGGAUGAAGGCGCCGUGAAGAGCGGCGCUUGACAGAGCCCCAGAGGAAGGGCGGGCUAAGUUCGUGCCAGCAGCCGCGGUAACACGAACUGCCCGAGCGUUAUUCGGAAUCACUGGGCUUACAGGGUGCGUAGGCGGCCGGACAGGUCGGGUGUGAAAGGCCUUGGCUCAACCAAGGCACAGCGCCCGAAACCGUUCGGCUCGAGUCAGCUAGGGGUCCGCGGAACUUCCGGUGGAGCGGUGAAAUGUGUUGAUAUCGGAAGGAACGCCGGUGGCGAAAGCGGCGGACUGGGGCUGGACUGACGCUGAGGCACGAAAGCCAGGGGAGCGAACGGGA
This 440-nucleotide ribosomal RNA is filed under the name uncultured bacterium. Its description in RNAcentral is "bacterial SSU rRNA". It matches the Rfam family "Bacterial small subunit ribosomal RNA", at positions 338 to 777 of the family's 1533-position model. The record is from RNAcentral.